Molecule: ribosomal RNA, 302 nt
Filed under: uncultured bacterium
Lineage: Bacteria
Description: partial 16S ribosomal RNA
Rfam family: Bacterial small subunit ribosomal RNA
Source: RNAcentral
GCAGUAGCCGCGGUAAUACAGAGGGUGCGAGCGUUAAUCGGAUUUACUGGGCGUAAAGCGUGCGUAGGCGGCUUCUUAAGUCGGAUGUGAAAUCCCUGAGCUUAACUUAGGAAUUGCAUUCGAUACUGGGAAGCUAGAGUAUGGGAGAGGAUGGUAGAAUUCCAGGUGUAGCGGUGAAAUGCGUAGAGAUCUGGAGGAAUACCGAUGGCGAAGGCAGCCAUCUGGCCUAAUACUGACGCUGAGGUACGAAAGCAUGGGGAGCAAACAGGAUUAGAUACCCGUGUAGUCCCUGUCUCUUAUAC